Molecule: long non-coding RNA, 1825 nt
Organism: Prosopis cineraria
Lineage: Eukaryota; Viridiplantae; Streptophyta; Magnoliopsida; Fabales; Fabaceae
Exons: 2
Source: RefSeq, a predicted model, not a curated record
UUAACUGUUAAAUAAAGUUUGUAAAUUUAUAUAUAAUUUGCAUAUGAUAUAAAUAUUUUUUUAGUCAUGGGCAGCUCAUUUUAAACUUUAAUUUAUACAGGCACAUACACGACAUACAAUCUAGAAGAAUCUAAUAUAAUCAUGAAGAUCUCUUAAUGUUUGAAAUUCAAACUUAUUAAUUAAUUGGCUGAUUCAGAUUAUUGUGCAUGACUUAUGAAAUACGAGUAUACAGAAUAUGAAGAUCAGGAAGGUAUAUAUUCGUCACAGUUCAUUUACGAAAUACGUCAAUCAUUCAUGUGUGUGUUUGUGUUUUGGUCAACACAUUAAGGCCAACCUUUUAAUUUUAGAUCAGACAAUUAAAUCAUGUUGAUCAUUGAUCACUAAUGACCCUCAUGUCUCUCAUGGUAUCUUCACACGAAUCUUCCUACAUAGCUUGCACGACACGCACAGUAGUUAAUUUUCUUUUAAUACAAUGUUUCAUUACUUUCUAAAAAAAACAAAGAAAGAAAGAAAAAUCUUCGUGAUUGGACAUUUUAUUUUCAGUUUUCAAAAUUUUUUAAAAAAGACUACUAAAAUUAUUGUGAGAAUUACAUGAUGUGGAAAAUCCAUAUAUUCGAAAAGAGCCACUUGAUGGUGAGGUCCACUAUCCCCUUGGGUCGUAGUUAUCCCUUAUUCCUCCAUUGUUAGGGUGUAGAAUCUCCUUCUUCAAACCAAAGAAAAAUAAAUAUUACUCAAUAGGUUGACACGAAGCUAGAUUAAAUUAUUUAUGCCACAUCCCAUCCACAGAAUUUCAAUUUUAUCAACACCACUACUAUUCUCUCACUUGACCCACGAUUUAACACAUCUCUCCCUCAUGAUUCUGUAAUUUCUAUUUCCAAUAUGCGAAGCUGACUCAUGAGUAGAACUUAUCCGUUUCAGCCUAAAGCUAGAAGUUCCCUUCUAAAACAAACCAUUUUAUGCAAGAACUUACGGAAUAAUAUGGCGAAAUAUGGUCCCACAAUGAGGGAAGCUACUGUAUCAUUGCUUUAUAUAUAAAAUGGGCAUGAGCUUCAGCUUCUGUACUCAAAGCGAAUUCAAGCACAAGUCAGUUCCUCUUAGAACUUUUUCUGAGUUUCUCUUUUGAGUGCAGUUUCAGAAGCAGGCAAGAGCAAAGCUAAACAAUGGCACCUCAGGUGGAGAUUGCAAAGAUAUUCGGUCGACAAAAGAGUUUGGAAAACCCUCGGGCGCCUCAGAAUCUGUGCCAAUACAAGUUCUAUCCAACUUACAUGACUGCCACCACAGUAAUUCAGCUGCAACCAGACGAUGAUCUCAUUAAAUGCAACGAAGCUGCUUCAAGGUCCUUCAAACGAGAUAGCCGAACGGAGCUCAGCCACACAGGUUUGGUGGGUUAGUAAGAUUGAAGAACAUGAUCAUCACCACCAAAAUUUCACCUUUUUGUCUCAAACUAGCUAGCUAGCAGGUAGUCAAUAACCAGUAGCUUAGAUAUUUUCUUUUGUCUUCCUUUUUCAUGGCGCUUAAGGCUUUUUCCAGAUGACCAGAUCAUAGGCCAGUAUAAUACUAUUGUACUACAUACAUAUAUAUAUAUAUGUAUUAAUGCAUCUUGAAGCUUAACAGAUAUAGGCCCAAGAUCAAGGAUCUUCUUGCAUCUCCAAGAUCUCUAAACUUCUCCCUAGGCUCAUAUAUGUAUGUAUGUAUGUAUGUAUGUAUAACUCCCUGCAAAUCAUGUGCAGAGCGAAGUUAUUGCUGAUGUAUAUUCGUAUAUCAGCCAAGUUUAAUUUGUUCUUAUAAUCUUACUGCUUCUCUAAUGAGAUCUUCGUUGUAGUAA